RNAcentral lists this long non-coding RNA (277 nucleotides) under Salvia miltiorrhiza (redroot sage). RNAcentral describes it as "long non-coding RNA (SMIL_LNC012486)". Lineage: Eukaryota; Viridiplantae; Streptophyta; Magnoliopsida; Lamiales; Lamiaceae. The record is from RNAcentral.
AUCCGACUUGAAACGAGGGAGAACGGACCAAAACAAAAAUGCUGCGCAUUGCAGUAGACGGCGGGCGCCGUGGGACGGCGGCCGCCGUGCCCAUUCUGCGAAAGGCCCUCACGGCGGCGCCGUUACACGGCGGCGGCCGCCUCUGUGCAGAUCCGACAGUACGAUUUUGCGUUUAAAAACCCCUUUCUAGGGUUUUACUUUAUCAUUCUCGUCCCCAGCAGCCCCCAGGCGAUUUUUCCCUUGUUCUCCCUUAGUUUUUGAGUAGUUAGAAACAUCA